GCCCCCGUAGCUCAGUGGAUAGAGCAUCCCCCUCCUAAGGGGAGGGCCACACGUUCGAUUCGUGUCGGGGGCGCCA
Molecule: transfer RNA, 76 nt
Filed under: Methylophilus sp.
Lineage: Bacteria; Pseudomonadati; Pseudomonadota; Betaproteobacteria; Nitrosomonadales; Methylophilaceae
Also listed under: 2 other names
Description: tRNA-Arg
Rfam family: tRNA
About the family: Transfer RNA (tRNA) molecules are approximately 80 nucleotides in length. Their secondary structure includes four short double-helical elements and three loops (D, anti-codon, and T loops).
Source: RNAcentral